CCUACGGGUGGCAGCAGUGAGGAAUAUUGGUCAAUGGACGAGGGUCUGAACCAGCCAAGUAGCGUGAAGGAUGACUGCCCUAUGGGUUGUAAACUUCUUUUAUAUGGGAAUAAAAUGUUCCACGUGUGGGAUUUUGUAUGUACCUUAUGAAUAAGCAUCGGCUAACUCCGUGCCAGCAGCCGCGGUACUACGGAGGAUACAAGCGUUCUCCGGAUUUAUUGGGUUUAACGGGUGCGUAGGUGGAUUGUUAAGUCAGUUGUGAACGGUUGCGGCUCAACCGUAAAAUUGCAGUUGAAACUGGCAGUCUUGAGUACAGUAGAGGUGGGCGGAAUUCGUGGUGUAGCGGUGAAAUGCUUAGAUAUCACGAAGAACGCCGAUUGCGAAGGCAGUUCACUGGACUGCAACUGACACUGAGGCUCGAAAGUGUGGGUAUCAAACAGGAUUAGAUACCCUGGUAGUC
RNAcentral lists this ribosomal RNA (460 nucleotides) under uncultured bacterium. RNAcentral describes it as "partial 16S ribosomal RNA". It matches the Rfam family "Bacterial small subunit ribosomal RNA", at positions 338 to 795 of the family's 1533-position model. The record is from RNAcentral.